RNAcentral lists this ribosomal RNA (415 nucleotides) under uncultured bacterium. RNAcentral's name for it is "bacterial SSU rRNA". It matches the Rfam family "Bacterial small subunit ribosomal RNA", at positions 355 to 786 of the family's 1533-position model. The record is from RNAcentral.
UCGGGAAUAUUGCACAAUGGAGGAAACUCUGAUGCAGUGACGCCGCGUGCAGGAAGAAGGUUUUCGGAUUGUAAACUGCUUUAGACAGGGAAGAAACAAGACAGUACCUGUAGAAUAAGCUCCGGCUAACUACGUGCCAGCAGCCGCGGUAAUACGUAGGGAGCAAGCGUUAUCCGGAUUUAUUGGGUGUAAAGGGUGCGUAGACGGGUAAGCAAGUUAGUUGUGAAAUCCCUCGGCUUAACUGAGGAACUGCAACUAAAACUACUAAUCUUGAGUGCGGGAGAGGAAAGUGGAAUUCCUAGUGUAGCGGUGAAAUGCGUAGAUAUUAGGAGGAACACCAGUGGCGAAGGCGACUUUCUGGACCGUAACUGACGUUGAGGCACGAAAGUGUGGGGAGCAAACAGGAUUAGAUACC